Molecule: ribosomal RNA, 498 nt
Filed under: uncultured bacterium
Lineage: Bacteria
Description: partial 16S ribosomal RNA
Rfam family: Bacterial small subunit ribosomal RNA
Source: RNAcentral
GUUGAACGCUGGCGGCAUGCCUUACACAUGCAAGUCGAACGGUAACAGGUCUUCGGAUGCUGACGAGUGGCGAACGGGUGAGUAAUACAUCGGAACGUGCCUAGUAGUGGGGGAUAACUACUCGAAAGAGUGGCUAAUACCGCAUGAGAUCUACGGAUGAAAGCAGGGGAUCGCAAGACCUUGUGCUACUAGAGCGGCCGAUGGCAGAUUAGGUAGUUGGUGGGAUAAAAGCUUACCAAGCCGACGAUCUGUAGCUGGUCUGAGAGGACGAUCAGCCACACUGGGACUGAGACACGGCCCAGACUCCUACGGGAGGCAGCAGUGGGGAAUUUUGGACAAUGAGCGAAAGCCUGAUCCAGCAAUGCCGCGUGCAGGAUGAAGGCCUUCGGGUUGUAAACUGCUUUUGUACGGAACGAAAAGCCCCGGGUUAAUACCCUGGGGUCAUGACGGUACCGUAAGAAUAAGCACCGGCUAACUACGUGCCAGCCGCCGCAGUAA